Molecule: long non-coding RNA, 879 nt
Organism: Mytilus trossulus (common blue mussel)
Lineage: Eukaryota; Metazoa; Mollusca; Bivalvia; Mytilida; Mytilidae
Exons: 3
Source: RefSeq, a predicted model, not a curated record
AUAAUGGCAUUACUUAACUUGAAGUCACAUUGUUCAAAACACGAUAUCGUGAUAUAGACCAACUUAAUGAUUGUAAUGUAAAUUUACACUUGAUAGAAAUUCGAUAGUUAAGACUGAAACAAUUGUAUAAAUACAAUAAAUCAUAAACUAAAAGUGUUAAGUGCUGGAGGUUAGUGGAUAAGCUGUAAACACAGAUUAAAUCAUUCUUUUACAAUAAAGGAUACCAUUCCUUAUAAUCAAACCCACCACCAUGAAGAUCUGCUUAAUGUGUUAUUGUUUUUGCGUACUGUUCUUGAGCUACAGUGAUGCCAUUAUGAUGGACGACCAACAGCUUGCUUUUAUGCAUCAAUCAACGUUUGAAGAUGGCACAAUUGACAAAAUUACAAUUCCUGUAAAGAGAUGGGGACGCUCAUACGGCUAUCUAUACAAACUACUUAGGAAGAAUGGCUUCCAAGUUAAAAACAAAUUUUCUCUUUAAGUGAUAAAAGGCUAUAAGCCUUCAUUUUCUUGUUGUAAAGAUAGGAAUGAUUAAUUUUGUUCAAUCAGAAGACGACAAAUUAUGGAUUCCUAAACGCCUACACAACAUAGGUCAACUGUCCUGGUAGAGUUAUGUCAUACAUUGUUUGGAGCUUCUGGAUCUUGCUCAAACUAUAGUUCACUGCAUCAGUGUAAAUUAUGUGUUUAAUUAUUGUCACUGAAAGUAUUGAAGAAAAAUAUAUAUGUAGGACUCGAAGGUGUUAUGGUCUGCUCGGAAGUUAGAUGCACUUUUCGAUGGUCUUUAUGAAGCGUGAGGUAUUAUUUAAAAUGUACAGAGAUGCAAUUAUUGUAAACAUAGAUAUUGUUAUUUUUUAGUAUAUACCUUUGAAUUCAUUAUUUUCA